Bufo bufo (common toad) is the source of this 459-nucleotide long non-coding RNA. RefSeq lists it as uncharacterized. Lineage: Eukaryota; Metazoa; Chordata; Amphibia; Anura; Bufonidae. The record is from RefSeq and is a predicted model, not a curated record. The transcript is spliced from 3 exons.
GAAUUAUAAGGACAAAUUCACCAGAUGUUCAGCUGAACUGGACGUCGGCUGAGGAGGGGAAGAAACGGGGUAGGCAGAUGGGCGUCACAUGACCCUGUAAGGAGAGAGGCGCCUAUCGUGGCCGCCAAGAGGGCCCCGGACUCAUGGACGAUCUACAACCCCCGGACUGCACACAUCCAAAGGUUGUAGGGUGAGAUGUAAGACGGCCGCUCACCUGCAGCAGGAUAUAUAUGUGCUGUAUACCUGAGGAGACGAUCACAGUAUAUAGGAAGACCCCAGAACAAGCCUGCUGGACCUAGAAGCUGCAAUCAGACCGCAGAGAUGUCUCCGCUCGCUGCGUUCCAGGCACUACGAUGCAGCAGUCUCUCUCCGCUGGAACCUCUGGAGAACGGGGAUGACCGGCGCCUCCGAGAAGCCAUAAAACUCCCACUUUUCUUUGCUUCUAUUAAAAACAGGAGC